Molecule: non-coding RNA, 29 nt
Filed under: Mus musculus (house mouse)
Lineage: Eukaryota; Metazoa; Chordata; Mammalia; Rodentia; Muridae
Source: RNAcentral
UGGAAAANCUUACUCCAUAUACAGGUUGC